UUCAUGAAUGCUUUUAUGAUGAAACCAUGUGCUUCUGAGCUGCCAUGAUUCUGGCUUCAAAGUAAAUGCUCUGAAGAGUUGGGGAAAAGA
Ictidomys tridecemlineatus (thirteen-lined ground squirrel) is the source of this 90-nucleotide small nucleolar RNA. NCBI's taxonomy places the organism in Eukaryota, Metazoa, Chordata, Mammalia, Rodentia, Sciuridae. The record is from Ensembl.